Molecule: ribosomal RNA, 600 nt
Filed under: Bacillus infantis
Lineage: Bacteria; Bacillati; Bacillota; Bacilli; Caryophanales; Bacillaceae
Description: bacterial SSU rRNA
Rfam family: Bacterial small subunit ribosomal RNA
Source: RNAcentral
AGCUAAUACCGGAUAAUGCAUAACCUCUCAUGAGGUUAUGCUGAAAGAUGGUUUCGGCUAUCACUUACAGAUGGGCCCGCGGCGCAUUAGCUAGUUGGUGAGGUAACGGCUCACCAAGGCAACGAUGCGUAGCCGACCUGAGAGGGUGAUCGGCCACACUGGGACUGAGACACGGCCCAGACUCCUACGGGAGGCAGCAGUAGGGAAUCUUCCGCAAUGGACGAAAGUCUGACGGAGCAACGCCGCGUGAGUGAUGAAGGUUUUCGGAUCGUAAAACUCUGUUGUUAGGGAAGAACAAGUGCCGGAGUAACUGCCGGCACCUUGACGGUACCUAACCAGAAAGCCACGGCUAACUACGUGCCAGCAGCCGCGGUAAUACGUAGGUGGCAAGCGUUGUCCGGAAUUAUUGGGCGUAAAGCGCGCGCAGGCGGUCUCUUAAGUCUGAUGUGAAAGCCCACGGCUCAACCGUGGAGGGUCAUUGGAAACUGGGGGACUUGAGUGCAGAAGAGGAAAGUGGAAUUCCACGUGUAGCGGUGAAAUGCGUAGAGAUGUGGAGGAACACCAGUGGCGAAAGCGACUUUCUGGUCUGUAACUGACGCU